CGGGGCGUAGCGCAGCCAGGGAGCGCACCUGAAUGGGGUUCAGGUGGUCGGAGGUUCAAAUCCUCUCGCCCCGACCA
RNAcentral lists this transfer RNA (77 nucleotides) under Vulcanithermus mediatlanticus. Its description in RNAcentral is "tRNA-Pro". It matches the Rfam family "tRNA". From Rfam's summary of the family: Transfer RNA (tRNA) molecules are approximately 80 nucleotides in length. Their secondary structure includes four short double-helical elements and three loops (D, anti-codon, and T loops). Lineage: Bacteria; Thermotogati; Deinococcota; Deinococci; Thermales; Thermaceae. The record is from RNAcentral. RNAcentral also lists the same sequence under 2 other names.